UGUGGCUAUAUUCAGCAUUUGGUGUUUUAGUGAUCUCAACUGUGGAAUUCAACACAUCAGAAUUCUCAAGGGUUUGUGACACGGCUUUCUCAUGAGACACAUUGCUAUGGAAGUAUGAUGGGCAUGGGACUUCCCUCCAUGUUCUCAAUUAGUUCCUUGCAAGUGUUAUUUGUGAUUCUAGAAACUAAGAAUAGUCAGCUGCUGAGACUAAACAAAAGAGAGGAAAUGUGGGUAUUGGGAGGGGGGGUUGACAUGAGGCCCUCAUCUAAAGUUUUGGCGAAUUUAGAUGGAUUCUAAUGGGCAUGAUCAGAGAAUAACUGAUUAAGGUGAUGGUCAAAGAAAACACUGACCAAUGUCCUGACCCUCAAGGUAGAGAGUAUAUGAUGAAAUCCUUCUUCUACAACACCUUGAGACCAAGCACUUAAAAUUUCUAGGCAACAACUCUUUAUAAAAUGACAAAGUUGGAACAGUGAUCAUGGCCAGAUACAAAGAGGAAAUGGAUCUCAUUUUUUGUAGCAGUCUUCGUCAGAAAACAUCCUGCAUGCUUAUGGGCAUAAAGUUAAGUUCCAGUGUAAGCAUUUUCCUCAUAAAAGUUGCAUUGCCACUUGGCUUGCUACUCUCUCAGCUAUUGGAGGUCUUCCCUGGGAACAAUAGAAGAGGCUCUUUUCCAGAGUUAAUGGAAGCCCUGUGGCAAAGGGACUGUUUCCUGGUAUUGCUUGAGAAUGGAUAUAAGAUUUUGGCACUACUUCAAGGAAAGUUAUCCCUGGAAAACCUCUACUCCAAAAAACAGAUGGCUAGGAGAAGAAGAAUAAGAUUUUAAAAUGGCUUAAAGUGGCUCGAAUUUUUCAGGACAUCAACUGGAAGCUUUUUUAUGAUAAAAGAAAAGGAGGCUGAGUAAUGAAUAUCCAUUUUUUCUUUUUUUUAACCUUUUUCAUUAAAACCACAAAUUUAUCACCUCAA
Molecule: long non-coding RNA, 960 nt
Filed under: Monodelphis domestica (gray short-tailed opossum)
Lineage: Eukaryota; Metazoa; Chordata; Mammalia; Didelphimorphia; Didelphidae
Description: lncRNA (ENSMODG00000037801.1)
Source: RNAcentral